GUCUGCGUGGCCUAAUGGAUAAGGCGUAUGACUUCGAAUCAGAAGAUUGCAGGUUCGAGUUCUGUCGCGGACG
This 73-nucleotide transfer RNA is filed under the name Caerostris darwini. Its description in RNAcentral is "tRNA-Arg". It matches the Rfam family "tRNA". From Rfam's summary of the family: Transfer RNA (tRNA) molecules are approximately 80 nucleotides in length. Their secondary structure includes four short double-helical elements and three loops (D, anti-codon, and T loops). Lineage: Eukaryota; Metazoa; Arthropoda; Arachnida; Araneae; Araneidae. The record is from RNAcentral.